CAGAGUGGGGAGCUGGGCUCUCUCGCACUUUAUGUAGCCCAUACAGAAACAGACCCUCCUAGGCGCGGAUGCCUUUCCCGUGGCUGCUCUGCUGUAUUGACCUGGCGGGGCACUGUUUUGGACCUGUGAGGCCAUGUACCACGGCUGCCUCCACAGCUGAGAACACCUAUGCUCAGCAGAGGAUUUAAAUUGUCUUUAGAGCUCUCAGGAUUUCAGAUCACGGCAACUCACAGCUGACCAGCCUCUGUCAGAGGGAUUUUGCUCAUCUCUCAAGCCUUCUCACAGGUGACACCCCUGGGGUGUCCCAGGUAAGAGCAAUAACAUGGGUGGAAGGAGCCUUUUAGGAACUUCUGGAGGAAGCUGGUAUGAUUGUUUUGAGCAGGAAAAACUUCUAAAUUCUUCAAACAACAAAAUUAACUUCAAACCUCACAACAUAUUAGGCAAUCAUUCAUCACUUUGUGCUUAUGAAGCAGUCACAUGUAGGAUAAAAAACUUGGGAAAUACAACAAAAAUGUCAAGGAGAUGAUGGAAGUGCCCCGAAAUCCACCACUCGGAGACGACCACCCCACACACCACACCGUUUAGAAGCCCUGACCCUCUCCAGAAGGCUGGAACCUAACUGGUGUUCUUACUUAACAUUGCCCCAUGCACAUUUUCCGAUGUUUCUAAAAGUCUUAGGAAAUAGUUUAUACUGGUGGUGUAAGAUUUCAUCACUUGAUUUUCCAUUAUUUGUUUGAAGACAAAUGUUUGAUGACGGGUGUGGUGGUUAUUUCCCGAUUUCAUUGUUAUAAAU
Long non-coding RNA from Heterocephalus glaber (naked mole-rat), 793 nucleotides. The record is from Ensembl. NCBI's taxonomy places the organism in Eukaryota, Metazoa, Chordata, Mammalia, Rodentia, Bathyergidae.